RNAcentral lists this ribosomal RNA (451 nucleotides) under uncultured bacterium. Its description in RNAcentral is "partial 16S ribosomal RNA". It matches the Rfam family "Bacterial small subunit ribosomal RNA", at positions 29 to 523 of the family's 1533-position model. The record is from RNAcentral.
AACGAACGCUGGCGGCAGGCUUAACACAUGCAAGUCGAACGGUUGUAGCAAUACAGCAGUGGCAGACGGGUGAGUAACACGUGGGAACCUUCCUAGGGGUACGGAACAACUCAGGGAAACUUGAGCUAAUACCGUAUACGUCCAUGAGGGGAAAGAUUUAUCGCCCUUAGACGGGCCCGCGUCGGAUUAGGUAGUUGGUGGGGUAACGGCCUACCAAGCCUACGAUCCGUAGCUGAUCUGAGAGGAUGAUCAGCCACACUGGGACUGAGACACGGCCCAGACUCCUACGGGAGGCAGCAGUGGGGAAUCUUGGACAAUGGGCGCAAGCCUGAUCCAGCCAUGCCGCGUGAGUGAAGAAGGCCUUAGGGUUGUAAAGCUCCUUUGCCAGGGACGAUAAUGACGGUACCUGGAGAAUAAGCCCCGGCAAACUUCGUGCCAGCCGCCGCCGUAA